Heterocephalus glaber (naked mole-rat) is the source of this 1440-nucleotide long non-coding RNA. The record is from Ensembl. Lineage: Eukaryota; Metazoa; Chordata; Mammalia; Rodentia; Bathyergidae.
AGGCAUUUUAAAAAUUAUGUCAGAUCUUUCUCUUCCGUGCCAUGGCAAUGUUUCCGGAAGCUUCACUUUUAUUAAAAUGAGGGCAAGGGAGUAAACAAAUUAAUCUCGGAGCGGGAGCAGCCUGGAAGAUGAUGGAAGCCUUAAGGAUCCAGCAGCGUCUUUGCUGGGAAACCAGGAGGUACCACAGAGGCCCAGGGUGGCCUUAUUGCUGGCUCUGAGAGGUCAGGCUCUGGUCUGAGGUCACACAGUGAGAAGGGGCGCUCCCGCUGGGUUUUGAGAACAAAGGGAAAGUUGGGAAUAGUGCUACUUCUCCCAGACAAGCUUUGCCAGGGAUGAAGCCUCAGCUUCCCAGCCUAUUCUCUUGACCUCCAGGACCCCCCAGUAUCACCUCUCUUGCUACAGCUUCUUCUCUUACCUCUCCUUCCCAAUCUCUGGUACCAGGUUCAUUUGCUCACUUUCACCAGCCCUUGUUUCUGCUCACAACCUUCAGUGACUCACUAUCACCCUUGGACUGAAGCUCAGACUCCUCCCUGUGACAUUCUGGUCCCUCCAGGAUAUUACCACAACCCAUUUUUCCAGUCCAAGUGCCCACUGCUCUUUGCAGCUGCAAUCAGGUGCAUCUAAGAAGGUAUGAAGGUGAGAAGAAGGAGAAUAAAAGAAGAUGGGAAGAUAAGAAAGAAGGAAGAAAGGAGGGAGGAGGAGGAAACAAAUGUUAAGUACCAAAAUAUUCCAAAUUUGCUAAUCCUUUAUAUAACAAUGACAAUGGCAGUAGUUGCUCUCAUUUAUUGAGACCAGUCUGCCAGCCACUGGUUCAACACUACUUCAGCUGGUGUUGUUCCUAUAAAGGAGGCAUGGUGAUCUCCAUGCCACAGAGGGGGAACUGGGGCUCACUGUGUAGAACAAUUUGCUCCAGGUCAUGUAUGUCAUAAAUGAUAAAACCAGUCUGUUGGACAUCAAAGCCUAAAUUCUGAACUACUGCACUUCCCACCAACAGUAAACAUUGUCCCCAUUUUGCAGGUGAAGAUGAGGAGGUGCAGGGAGAUAGUGAUAUGCCCUGAGGUACUGGGGGUAAAAACCAAGCAGAAACCAGGAGCAUCAAAGUUCUGGGAAUCAGCUUUACUCCAUCUCUAUCAACACCUGCUCUGGAGAACACAGGAUCUUAACUUACAACUCUGCCUCAGCGUCCCAGAGUGCUGGGAUUAUAAUUAUGGGCCACCAUGCCUGGGUCACAUUCACUCUUUUAAAGCGUGCAGUUGGAUGGGUUGUGAAAGACACGUGUGCAGUAUCUCCACCUCUGCAAUCAAGAUGUGCAUUUCCAUUCACCACAGAAAGUUGCUUUGUGCCCCUUGGUGGAUUCCAUCUCCUAUCCCAGCUCCUGGCAUCCACUGAUGUGGUUUGGCCUUUUUCAGAUGCCAUUAAAUAGAAUCACCCAAUACUGAA